UCUUUUCCAUGCCCACCCAAUGGAGCGACUAUGCCAUCCUCUUGUAAGUUCUAUAAACUCUCGAGUGCGCUCCCGUAAACGUUUUGUGAAAUUCUGCUAACAGUUUAGGUAUCCACUCAGACUGGGUAGAGAGGACUAGCUUUCCUUUAUGGUGUAAUCUCCCAUUCUCCAUUGUAUAAGCCAAAUGAGAGUUUGGAUCAGCUUUUAAUUCUUCCAUAAUUUUUUCAAACUAGCAUCCCUCUCCACCUC
Molecule: long non-coding RNA, 249 nt
Filed under: Vigna radiata
Lineage: Eukaryota; Viridiplantae; Streptophyta; Magnoliopsida; Fabales; Fabaceae
Description: long non-coding RNA (VRAD_LNC008168)
Source: RNAcentral